This 465-nucleotide ribosomal RNA is filed under the name uncultured bacterium. RNAcentral's name for it is "partial 16S ribosomal RNA". It matches the Rfam family "Bacterial small subunit ribosomal RNA", at positions 28 to 507 of the family's 1533-position model. The record is from RNAcentral.
GAUGAACGCUGGCGGCGUGCUUAACACAUGCAAGUCGAACGGAAAUGCUCCUGCUUGCAGGGGUACUCGAGUGGCGAACGGGUGAGUAACACGUGGGUGAUCUGCCCUGCACUUCGGGAUAAGCCUGGGAAACUGGGUCUAAUACCGGAUAGGACGAUGGUUUGGAUGCCAUUGUGGAAAGUUUUUCGGUGUGGGAUGAGCUCGCGGCCUAUCAGCUUGUUGGUGGGGUAAUGGCCUACCAAGGCGUCGACGGGUAGCCGGCCUGAGAGGGUGUACGGCCACAGUGGGACUGAGAUACGGCCCAGACUCCUACGGGAGGCAGCAGUGGGGAAUAUUGCACAAUGGGCGCAAGCCUGAUGCAGCGACGCCGCGUGGGGGAUGACGGCCUUCGGGUUGUAAACUCCUUUCGCUAGGGACGAAGCGCAAGUGACGGUACCUGGAGAAGAAGCACCGGCUAACUACGUG